This 1536-nucleotide long non-coding RNA is filed under the name Rattus norvegicus (Norway rat). RNAcentral describes it as "long non-coding RNA NONRATT029739". Lineage: Eukaryota; Metazoa; Chordata; Mammalia; Rodentia; Muridae. The record is from RNAcentral.
GUUUUAGCCCUGUUUAAAUACAGGCUUGCAGGGCAUUAUGAUUAAAGUAUAGGUUCAAGGUGAAAUUGAGCAGAGCAGGUUUUGAGCCCAGCCCUGUGCUACAGCUUAUGUUUAUAGAACUCCAAGGGAGAGAGGGAGAGAGGGAGAGAGGGAGAGAGAGGUGUUUAUGCUGUGUGAGAGCUCAGUCUUUUUAAUCUUUGUUCUCUGAGUUGUUUGCAGUUGGUGUUUACCUUCCGUGCAGAGAUCUGGUGGGGCCAGUACAGAAAUCCUUUCUUAGCUGGAGAUUAAAUGAGAUGACUGAGUCUGUACGCUUGACUUGCUGAUGAUUCAGUUCUUUGGCAGCCAUCUUGGGCAGCCGUUUUGGGCAGCCAUCUUGGGCAGCCAUACUCUGUGCAUAUACUCUUAGCCCCAAAGCUGUUUCUCAUGCUGGAUUUACCUACCCCUGAGGGUGGAGAGAACAGCAUCAUUGGCAGGGAAUCUGGACCUUGUGACCACUGCUUCAUCACCUAGCCCUGCAUUUUCACUGGCCCCUUACUGAUAGGGAUUUUCCUUCUUCCAUGAGAGAAAUGAGCAUGACCAUUAUAAAAACAAUAAGGUUAUGGCUAAGGACCACGAACACAUGGGAAACUGUUUUGUUUUUAAUUCUCUGAGGCAUGUAAGCAGAAGUAAGAGUGAAGUGACUGCAGGCUGAUGGCAUUUGGAGAGAUGUAUGUGCAUGUGUAUCAACAUAGCCAUCUCCAUUCAACCCCAAAACUUCCUCCUGCUCCUGAGUGGACAAUAGAUGUCUCUCUGGAGAUAUCCUUUAGAGUCUGUUUACCAUGCUUCACAAAGGCCACUAGGUUUGGUGCUCCUUGGGACAGCAGAAGAAUUUAGCCUUGGAUACAAACUUCUGGUCUACAGAGUAUCAGUGUCUACACUGACAUGUAUUCUAAGUGCAAAGUAUUGCUACCAUACAAAAUGUGGUUAGUGUUCAGACACCUCCAGGAUUCCAAUAUUCCAUGCUAUGUGUGACAUGGGAUACUACAGAUAACGUUAGAUGGGUAAAACUAUUCUUUUUUUUUUUUUACUAUAUUAGACUAUAUUUGAUGAUGCAUAGGUGGAACAAAUUAAUCUAGAGAGAGAAUUCAUGAGGGGAAAGGGGUGCUUAUUUACCAAUCUUUUAAAACCAGAACUCAUGGCAGUUAGGGGAUGAACCUAAAAUCAUAGGGCUGACACAGUUGAGUAGCCUGGGCAGUGAGUGAAAAUCAGCGCACUUGCAGAAAGUAUUCAGAAGUGCCCACAAUUGAAAAACAAACCCAGCGCUUGUAGUUUGCAGGUGACCUGCCACUGUGUCUCUGUGGAGACAUCUAUUUAUAACCAACCUUGUUUCUCUGUCAAAUGGCAGAAACAUGAAUAUGUUAUCUUUCUUCUCUGGUGUGUAUAUAUUAAUAAGCUGGGGGUCUGGGAAAUACUAUUAAUUUCUGUAUCUAAAUACUAUUUAUAAAUAAACUAUAUCCAGCUUUGAAAUAUGUAUCCAAUAUAAAGCAGUUUUUCUAC